CUCGUAGGUGGCCAACUAAGUCGGACGUGAAAUCCCUCGGCUUAACCGGGGAACUGCGUCCGAUACUGGAUGGCUUGAGUUUGGGAGAGGGACGCGGAAUUCCAGGUGUAGCGGUGAAAUGCGUAGAUAUCUGGAGGAACACCGGUGGCGAAGGCGGCGUCCUGGACCAACACUGACACUGAUGAGCGAAAGCCAGGGGAGGCAAACG
RNAcentral lists this ribosomal RNA (208 nucleotides) under uncultured bacterium. RNAcentral describes it as "partial 16S ribosomal RNA". It matches the Rfam family "Bacterial small subunit ribosomal RNA", at positions 568 to 775 of the family's 1533-position model. The record is from RNAcentral.